Molecule: ribosomal RNA, 398 nt
Filed under: uncultured bacterium
Lineage: Bacteria
Description: partial 16S ribosomal RNA
Rfam family: Bacterial small subunit ribosomal RNA
Source: RNAcentral
AUACGUAGGGUGCGAGCGUUGUCCGGAAUUACUGGGCGUAAAGAGCUCGUAGGUGGUUUGUCGCGUCGUCUGUGAAAUUCCGGGGCUUAACUCCGGGCGUGCAGGCGAUACGGGCAUAACUUGAGUACUGUAGGGGAGAUUGGACUUCCUGGUGUAGCGGUGAAAUGCGCAGAUAUCAGGAGGAACACCGGUGGCGAAGGCGGGUCUCUGGGCAGUAACUGACGCUGAGGAGCGAAAGCAUGGGUAGCGAACAGGAUUAGAUACCCUGGUAGUCCAUGCCGUAAACGGUGGGCGCUAGGUGUAGGGGUCUUCCACGACUUCUGUGCCGUAGCUAACGCAUUAAGCGCCCCGCCUGGGGAGUACGGCCGCAAGGCUAAAACUCAAAUGAAUUGACGGGG